This 773-nucleotide ribosomal RNA is filed under the name uncultured rumen protozoa. RNAcentral's name for it is "bacterial SSU rRNA". It matches the Rfam family "Archaeal small subunit ribosomal RNA". The record is from RNAcentral.
UUCUAGUUCGCACGAAGGAUCGGGGAGUCAUUCCACGGGGUGUCUGCCUAUGGUGGAGGAUACCCCGGGAAACUGGGGAUAAUACUCCAUAAGUCAGGAGUACUGGAAUGUCUCCUAACUGAAAGUUGCGGCGCCAUAGGAUGAAUCUGCGGCCGAUUAGGUAGUUGUUGGGGUAACGGCCCAACAAGCCUGUUAAUCGGUUACGGGUUGUGGGAGCAAGAGCCCGGAGAUGGAAUCUGAGGCACGAUUCCAGGCCCUACGGGGCGCAGCAAGAAGAGCCAACUAUACAAUGCAGGAAACUGUGAUUACGGGAACCCCGAGUGCCCGUAACGCCGGGCUGUCCCGGUGUUUAAAACACAUCGGAAGAUAGGGCCGGGCAAGACCGGUGCCAGCCGUCGCGGUAAUACCGGCGGCUCGAGUGGUGACCACUUUUAUUGGGCUUAAGCGUUCGUAGCUUGAUUUUUAAGUCUCUUGGGAAAUCUCACGGCUUAACUGUGAGGCGUCUAAGAGAUACUGGGAAUCUAGGGACCGGGAGAGGUAGAGUACUUCAGGGGUAGAAGUGAAAUCUGUAUCCUGAGGACCACGAUGGCGAAGCAUCUACAGACGGCUCGACAGUGAGACGAAGCUGGGGACGACGGAUAGAACCCGUAGUCAGCGUACAGCCGUAGUGCUUACACGAUACGGUCAUGAACUGACUGCCUGGAUCGUCAGUACUAGAUGCGGGACCAGGGACGGUAGUCCGGCCUCAUAUCAUAUACGGUAUCUACUAAGUG